CAGAGAAAUAAUUCUCGUCCCAAGGUCAUGUGGCUAGUUGCUUUCAGAGCCAAGAGUUGAACUAGUCUCCCAAGUCUAAUGCUUACCUGUUUUACAACCACCCAGAGCCAAUCUGAGUGAUAGUUUAAAAUGUUCAAAGGACAGGUCUGAGAACUUUACCGUCACCAAACAGCAGGAGAGGAAAAGAGAAGAUCAACUACUUAAAGAGAAGCAGAGGUGACAAGACACAAUUGCCGCUCAAGACCCUUGGCUGGAAAAUGGCAAAACUAGAGGCCCAGAGAGAUUAACUUGACCACUCUGCAAGUGCCAGAGCCAAGAUGCAAACCCCGGCAGUCUGCCUCCAGAUCGCACGCUCUUAACCACGAUCCUGUGCAGUUCCAGGGUCUGGGAGACAUCCAACCACUGGGGAAAGGUAAGAAGAGAAGCGAUUCUUGGAAAAGACCUGAUCAGGCUGGUAACCUUAAGAAGUCUUGGAGCUGAACAAUAAAAUAUCUCAAGAAACAGUUAUGUUAAAAGCCAACCAUUAUCUUUCACAAUGCAUACAGAGCUUCUGCACAAUCUAUGGGAGAUUGCCCCUCAAGCAUUUCCCUCACCCACUGCAUUCCCUGUUCAUUAUCUAACUGAAUAAUUCCACCAUUAAG
Molecule: long non-coding RNA, 641 nt
Organism: Mirounga angustirostris (Northern elephant seal)
Lineage: Eukaryota; Metazoa; Chordata; Mammalia; Carnivora; Phocidae
Exons: 3
Source: RefSeq, a predicted model, not a curated record